UACGUAGGGCGCAAGCGUUGUCCGGAAUUAUUGGGCGUAAAGAGCUCGUAGGUGGUUUGUCGCGUCUGUCGUGAAAGCCCGGGGCUUAACCCCGUGCCUGCUUCCGAUACGGGCAGACUAGAGGUAUGCAGGGGAGAACGGAAUUCCUGGUGUAGCGGUGAAAUGCGCAGAUAUCAGGAGGAACACCGGUGGCGAAGGCGGUUCUCUGGGCAACAACUGACGCUGAGGAGCGAAAGCGUGGGGAGCGAACAGG
RNAcentral lists this ribosomal RNA (253 nucleotides) under uncultured bacterium. Its description in RNAcentral is "partial 16S ribosomal RNA". It matches the Rfam family "Bacterial small subunit ribosomal RNA", at positions 524 to 776 of the family's 1533-position model. The record is from RNAcentral.